This 1298-nucleotide long non-coding RNA is filed under the name Arachis ipaensis. RNAcentral describes it as "long non-coding RNA (AIPA_LNC000618)". The record is from RNAcentral. Lineage: Eukaryota; Viridiplantae; Streptophyta; Magnoliopsida; Fabales; Fabaceae.
CUCUUUUUCCAACUAUAAAUACUGCCUCCUGCUUCAACUCUUGGAGCCACAACACAUACAAAGCUUUGCAAUCUACAGCAUAGUUCAUACCUUCGUGAUUUCUCUUUCCUUCCAUAAAACCAAACAUGUCUAGCACCUGCGGCAACUGCGACUGCGCUGACAAGACCCAGUGUGUGUAAGUGCUUAAUGCCCUCUCUUUGCUUGCGUGUAUUCCGACAAAAGUCAGCCAACUUUUAUAGAAUUUUGUUUAUUUUAAAUUCUAAAUCCUAAGUUAUAAAUUCUUAAUUCUAAAUCCUAAAGAAGAGUUGACUAAUAUUAUCAAACUAAAAAUUAGUUGCCUAUAUUUUCUCUUCUGAAAAUUUUGAUACAAUUUUAAUAGAAAUUCUUCUAUGCUAUGAGAGCAAGUUCACUAAGGCUGCCAUUGUUUCUAACAUGAUAAGACAAGACACUAAGAACAAAGAACAAAAUAUAAAAAAUGAAGACAUAGAAUUUAGUGUUUUUGUAUUCUGUUUGGUGAUAAAAUAGAACGAAUUAUGAAAAUCUAAUUUAUUUUUAUUUUUUCAUUUAAAAAGUUUGAAAAGAAAAAUAUGAUAAUAAAAAAUAUAAUUAACAAAAAAAUAAAAAAUAAGUUGUGUUUUCUGUUAGUAUCUCUGUACACAAAAUACACUAAUUCAGUAUCUAUGGACAUAAUGUCUCUAUCAAUGUUUCAUCUAUCAAUCGCAGCCUAACAAACUUGCUCUGUACCAUUCAAUUGUACUUCAUUUUCAAUCAUUAUGAAUAGUUCGCUCGAUACCAUUUGUGCAUGUUUAAUACUUUGCUUUUACUAAUUCGCUCGUACAAAUUUUUCAGGAAGGGAAACAACGUCGUUCAAAUCAUGGAGACUGAAAAGAGGUAAAAUUGACGAGAAAUUCUUAUAUCCUUCAUAGUUUUACUGCUUUUUUAGCUCUACCCAUUACAGAGAAAAGAACCCCUACUCAAGCUGCUUUUUUUUGGUGCAUUUGCAGCUACACGGAGACGGUUGUCGCUUCAGCUGCUGAGAACGACGGAUGCAAGUGCGGCGCUAGCUGCAGUUGCACCAACUGCACCUGCAACAACUGCAGCUGUGGCCAUUAAAUACGAUUGCCAAAUGUGUUUGGGAAUGAUUUCCUAAUAAGUAAUCUUUUACUAAAUAAAUUUGUGUGCUUAUUGCACUUCAUAUCUGUAUAAGUAAUGCACUGUGAAUCGAGUUUGGUUCUAGUGAUAGUUAUAUAAAAGCUAUGGCUUUGGCACUUUAUUGUUACAUGGACUAAAAAUAUGCA